GCGCCUGCCAGGCCGGGGCCGGCGGCGGAACAGCUUGGGACCCGAAACGCCUCGGCUUUUCUGCGGACCCGCGCCCGGCCGCUGCCGCCGGACGCUUGAAAAGAGGCAGAGUCUUGCUUUGUUGUCCAGGCUGGUCUUGAACUUCUGAGCUCAAGUGAUCCUCCCGCCUUGGCCUCCCAAAGUGCUGAGACUACAGAGAGAGAAUGCUAACGAGCUGUGAAAUGACCAAAGAUCUGGCAGCAGAAGGGAAAAGAAAAAAUAAUGGGAAGAAGAGGAUUUAUCUGACUCAACUGGAGAUGGCUCCCUUCCCUUAUUUAUUGUUGCAUCCUGAAGCUUCCCCCAUGCUGGGCUCAGUGUGAACAAACAGCGCGGGAGAAUGCAACCACUGCAGAGGCAUAUGUUUGAGAUACCUGGCCACUGGAGGUCAUCUCGUCUACUAUAUUCACCGCAGAUAAAGAAUGAAAAGAGAAUACACAACCUUGUGAUUGCUAGCAGUGAAAGCUCAGAGUUAUGACAUAACAACAAGGCUCUCUCCGCUUACUCCUCUGCUUGCUUGUGGAUGAAAAGGGCCACGCCACCCCUGAUUUGACAGUAUCCUUUAAGUUCACAUCUCAACAAGCAUGUGAGCCUGGUGUUUGUGUCUCUUAUUUCCAAUUCUCCAGAAAGAGAAUGCCAGAAUAUUAAUUGGUUCCUCAUAUCAAUCAGCCAAAGUCAACUUGUUAUUAAAACAGAGCCAAGAAACUGCCUCUUUUGGUAGAGAUUGUGGGUGGAAAGUAAUUCCAAAUAAUGGAUCAUGGGUUAGGCAGGCAUGGCCAAAUAUUUUAUAUUUAAACCAUAAUGUUUAAAUAUAAAAGAUAGAUCACAUAUUUUAUAACUAUCUUUAGCUUAAUAUUUUGCCAACAUACUUUUUUGUCAAGAUAAUUAUAUCUCAUCAUUUUUUGUGACAGUGUAGUAUCCAUCGUAUGUACUUGCCUCAGUUUGCUCAACCAAUUGCUAUUGAUGGAUAUUCUUUCGUCCAGGUAUUUGCCAGUACAAUCAAUGUUGUUACGAACAACCAUCAUAAAUAUUUGUGCCUAGCCUUAAUUAUUUUUUAGGGCAAAUUAUUAUUUUUGGAACUUUUAUUUUAGGUUUGGGGGUACAGGUGCAGGUUUGUUAUAUAGUAAACUUGUGUCACAGGAGUUUCUUGUACAGAUUAUUUCAUCAUCCAGCUAUUAAGCCUAGUACCCAAUAGUUAUUUUUUCUGCUCUUCUCCCUCCUCACACCCUUCACCCUCAAGUAGACCCCAGUGUCUGUUUUCCCUUCUUUGUGUUCGUGAGUUCUCAUCAUUUAGCUCUCAUAAAAAAGAACAGGAUCGUGUCUUUUGCAGGAACAUGGAUGAAGUUGGAGUCUAUUACCCUUAGCAAACUAGUGCAGAAACAGAAAACCAAGUAUCGCAUGUUCUCACUUAUAAGUAUGGUAAAUUAUUAAAAGCAAAAUUGUUAGGUUAAGAAGUAUGAACAGUUUUAAGACUUUAGAAAUAUGUACCCCAAUUUUCUUCUGGAAAAACUGCACCCGUUCAUAUUCCCACGAGCCAUGUGGUAAAGUGCCUGCCUUUCCACACCCUCACCAGCACUGGGGAUUAUUCUCUUAUCGUUGCCAGUUUGAUAGCCAAAAA
Molecule: long non-coding RNA, 1654 nt
Organism: Homo sapiens (human)
Lineage: Eukaryota; Metazoa; Chordata; Mammalia; Primates; Hominidae
Gene: MAP4K3-DT
Product: MAP4K3 divergent transcript
Source: Ensembl